BCAAUGAGCCGAGCCGCACUAGUGAUUGUGCCAGCAGCCGCGGUGAUACGGAGGAUGCGAGCGUUAUCCGGAUUCAUUGGGUUUAAAGGGUGCGUAGGCGGACUAUUAAGUCAGUGGUGAAAUCCUCCCGCUUAACGGGAGAACUGCCAUUGAAUACUGAUAGCCUUGAGUUUGGUUAAGGUAGGCGGAAUGUGUAAUGUAGCGGUGAAAUGCUUAGAUAUUACACAGAACACCAAUUGCGUAGGCAGCUUACUGGACCGACACUGACGCUGAGGCACGAAAGCGUGGGGAUCGAACAGGAUUAGAUACCCUGGUAGUCCACGCCGUAAACGAUGAUUACUCGCUGUUGGCGAUACACAGUCAGCGGCUAAGCAAAAGCAAUAAGUAAUCCACCUGGGGAGUACGGCCGCAAGGUUGAAACUCAAAGGAAUUGACGGGGGCCCGCACAAGCGGAGGAACAUGUGGUUUAAUUCGAUGAUACGCGAGGAACCUUACCUGGGCUUAAAUGUAGAGUGCAUUUUCUAGAGAUAGGAAUUCCCUUCGGGGCUUUCUGCAAGGUGCUGCAUGGUUGUCGUCAGCUCGUGCCGUGAGGUGUCGGGUUAAGUCCCAUAACGAGCGCAACCCUUAUCGUUAGUUGCCAGCGGGUAAUGCCGGGGACUCUAGCGAAACUGCCACCGUAAGGUGAGAGGAAGGUGGGGAUGACGUCAAAUCAGCACGGCCCUUAUGUCCAGGGCUACACACGUGUUACAAUGGACCGGUACAGAAGGGCAGCUACCUGGUGACAGGAUGCUAAUCUCGAAAACCGGUCUUCAGUUCGGAUCGGAAGUCUGCACCUCGACUUCCGUGAAGCUGGAUUCAGACUAGUAAUCGCCGCAUCAGCCAUGGACGCGGGAUGAAUACGGUUCCCGGGCCUUGUACACACCCGCCCGUCAAGCCAUGGAAGCUGGGGGGUGCCUGAAGUCCGUAACCGUAAGGAGCGGCCUAGGGUAAAACUAUGUGACUGGGGCCUAAGUCGUAACAAGGUGAGCUCGUACCGGAAGGUGCGGCUGGAACACCUCCUUCUAGACCUGCAGAAAAUGCCCGGCGGCCAUUGGC
RNAcentral lists this ribosomal RNA (1095 nucleotides) under uncultured bacterium. Its description in RNAcentral is "bacterial SSU rRNA". It matches the Rfam family "Bacterial small subunit ribosomal RNA", at positions 475 to 1533 of the family's 1533-position model. The record is from RNAcentral.